UACGAAGGGGCGAGCGUUAUUCGGAAUUAUUGGGUGUAAGGGCAGUGUAGGCGGUGUAAUAAGUCUUGUUGUUUAAACUCCUCGGCCUAACCGGGAGCAUGCAGUGGAUACUGUUACGCUAGAGGUAUGGAAGAGAGAAGCGGAAUUCUCGGAGUAGCGGUAAAUGCGUAGAUCUCGAGAGGAACGCCCAAGUGGCGAAGGCAGCUUCUUGGUACAUAACUGACGCUGAGGCGACGAAGGCGUGGGGAGCAAACAGG
Molecule: ribosomal RNA, 257 nt
Filed under: uncultured bacterium
Lineage: Bacteria
Description: partial 16S ribosomal RNA
Rfam family: Bacterial small subunit ribosomal RNA
Source: RNAcentral